This 349-nucleotide RNase P RNA is filed under the name Clostridiaceae bacterium. Its description in RNAcentral is "RNase P RNA component class A". It matches the Rfam family "Bacterial RNase P class A". From Rfam's summary of the family: Ribonuclease P (RNase P) is a ubiquitous endoribonuclease, found in archaea, bacteria and eukarya as well as chloroplasts and mitochondria. Its best characterised activity is the generation of mature 5'-ends of tRNAs by cleaving the 5'-leader elements of precursor-tRNAs. Cellular RNase Ps are ribonucleoproteins. The record is from RNAcentral. Lineage: Bacteria; Bacillati; Bacillota; Clostridia; Eubacteriales; Clostridiaceae.
UGAGUCGGCCGGACGGUCGCGUGGGCAAGGCUUCAACGAGCGCUCACGAGGAAAGUCCGGGCUCCAUAGGACAAGGGUGCCGGGUAACUCCCGGUGAAGGCGACUUUAAGGAAAGUGCAACAGAAAGCAAACCGCCUCUUUUCGGAGAGGUAAGGAUGAAACGGCGGGGUAAGAGCCCACCGGCGGAUCGGAGACGAUUCGGCCAUGUAAACCCCACCCGGAGCAAUGCCAUGGAGAGACAUUACUGUGGUCCGCAGGUCUCGAGGAGGCGGCUUGAGCCGUUCAGAAAUGUUCGGCCUAGAUAGAUGAUCGUCUAAGACAGAACCCGGCUUACAGGUUGACUCAGAUA